UUGAGAGGAGCUGUCCUUAGUACGAGAGGACCGGGAUGGACGAAGCUCUGGUGUACCAGUUGUGCCGCCAGGUGCAAUGCUGGGUAGCGAUCUUCGGCAGGGAUAACCGCUGAAAGCAUCUAAGCGGGAAGCCCCCCUCAAGAUGAGAUCUCCCUGAAGACACCUUCGAGACUAGGAGGUAUAUAGGCUGGGUGUGGAAGUGCCGUGAGGCAUGGAGCU
This 219-nucleotide ribosomal RNA is filed under the name Strombidinopsis acuminata. RNAcentral describes it as "partial Bacterial large subunit ribosomal RNA". It matches the Rfam family "Bacterial large subunit ribosomal RNA", at positions 2662 to 2892 of the family's 2925-position model. The record is from RNAcentral. Lineage: Eukaryota; Ciliophora; Spirotrichea; Choreotrichida; Strombidinopsidae.